Molecule: transfer RNA, 54 nt
Filed under: Porcellio dilatatus dilatatus
Lineage: Eukaryota; Metazoa; Arthropoda; Malacostraca; Isopoda; Porcellionidae
Description: tRNA-Cys
Source: RNAcentral
AGGUUUUAAUUUUUAGACUGCAAAUCUAAUUAAGCAAAUUUAUGCAAAAACCUA